RNAcentral lists this ribosomal RNA (431 nucleotides) under uncultured bacterium. RNAcentral's name for it is "partial 16S ribosomal RNA". It matches the Rfam family "Bacterial small subunit ribosomal RNA", at positions 29 to 507 of the family's 1533-position model. The record is from RNAcentral.
AACGAACGCUGGCGGCAGGCUUAACACAUGCAAGUCGAGCGCCCCGCCAGGGGCGCGGCCGACGGGUGAGUAACGCGUGGGAACGUACCUUUUGGUUCGGAACAACUCCGGGAAAUUGGAGCUAAUACCGGAUAAGCCCUAACGGGGAAAGAUUUAUCGCCGAAAGAUCGGCCCGCGUCUGAUUAGCUAGUUGGUGAGGUAACGGCUCACCAAGGCGACGAUCAGUAGCUGGUCUGAGAGGAUGAUCAGCCACACUGGGACUGAGACACGGCCCAGACUCCUACGGGAGGCAGCAGUGGGGAAUAUUGGACAAUGGGCGCAAGCCUGAUCCAGCCAUGCCGCGUGAGUGAUGAAGGCCUUAGGGUUGUAAAGCUCUUUUGUCCGGGAAGAUAAUGACUGUACCGGAAGAAUAAGCCCCGGCUAACUUCGUG